AACUAUUGAUCAGUAGAACAGAAAUAAGCUAAGCAUCUUUAAGGGUCAGCUGAUUCUUUAAAGUAGCUUCAGACCGCGUGGUAGAACCCGUAAGGCGCGUGCGCUUGGGCGGCGCGGCGUGAGCGGCAGAGGACGGUGACGGAGCCACGCCGGGGUCAGGGCUCCACGUCCCACCCGGCUGGUGUCGCAUUAACGUGAAGCAGAUUUUGUAAAAUUAAGGACGCACAGAGUGCGUGUUCUUCUCUGUUAGCUCACUAUCGAGGUGCCGGAGCCAAGAUGCGCAGCCCGGCUCCCGCCCUGGGGGGCCCCGUGCGCCCAGCGCCCCCGCUUCUCAGUCCACCAGUCGUCCGAAGGCACUGUCCUCGCUUCCUUGGAAGGCUUGCUAGUUAAGGGACUAGAAGCUAUUUCUGGUAACUGGCUUCACUCUAUCAAGUUUAUACAGAUGUAAUCUUUUCGAUCACAAACUGAAAUGCAACUUUUGAGUAAGAGACGUAUGUGACCUCCAGUUCAGGACCUAAUAUAAAAAUUCUGAAGCAAGACACUCAACAGGAAAAUAAUGCCUUCACAGAGACGAUUUUCAAGGCCAUAAGAAGUUAAUGGCUAAGAUUGGACUUUAAUCCAAAGCAAAAGGAAUGUACUGUUGCUAGCGACAUGUUUGUAACAUUUAGCUCAUUUCUUGUAACAUGUGUGAUACUUUCCGGACCGGCACGUGCGUUUAUAUGCUCCGCCUAAAAGUGGCGUGUGCUUUUUCUCCACCAGAGUUAAAAACAAAAUUUGUUAUGUGUGUACAGCUGCUGUCCUGCCUUUGGGAGCUGCUUUUUCCCCACAGCCAGGAGGUGUGCUGGACCCACAGAGCUCCUUCGGAGCAAGAGAAACGAACCAGAGCUGGUAGGGAUCUGGUGGCUUCUAACGGCGGGUAGCACUCUGCAAGCCCACGGAUGGGGCCUGAUCCCAGAAGCCCAGGUGCAAGGGACCCCGUGACAGUGGCCACGACACGGAGACCACCGAUGGAUGAGCGGAUAGAGAAGCAUGGUGCGCGUGUCCAGUGGAGUACUUUCAGCCGUAAGAAAUGUGGAAAUCCUCCACUUGUGGAAACAUGGAUAAGUCUCGAAGGCACUGUGCUAAUGAGCCUGACCCUCGGCCCUCGUCCAGCCACGGCUUCUGCGCGAAUUAGGUUUCACUGGUGAUCUCAGCGGGAGCUGUGGAAGGUGGGUAGGAAGGACCGAGGAGGAGACGCUGGACCCAUAUUGGACGGAAACGGGGCAAAGAUUUGAGCUACAACAUUCCCAAGAUGUUACUCGGGUUCAGCUUACAGUCUGAACGCGGGCCUCGCGCCCUCACCGGCUGGCCCAGAGAGGACCCGCCGGGGGCAGUGGUGAGCUGACUCCCGGCCCAGCACCCCCUGAACCCCCUGGCGCCCGUGUCAGAAAUCCGGUUCGGGGACUCACCUGAGCUCCAGCUUGGGAAACGGUGUCUUGCAGACCUGAUCCAAGGGUUUCCUACACAGGGCGAUCCUUAAACUUUACAGAAAUAAACGGCCACAAAACGAAA
Molecule: long non-coding RNA, 1551 nt
Organism: Suricata suricatta (meerkat)
Lineage: Eukaryota; Metazoa; Chordata; Mammalia; Carnivora; Herpestidae
Exons: 4
Source: RefSeq, a predicted model, not a curated record